CGCCCGUCGCUCCUACCGAUUGGGUGUGCUGGUGAAGUGUUCGGAUUGGCGACCGGGGGCGGUUUCCGCCCUCGGCCGCCGAGAAGUUCAUUAAUCCCUCCCACCUAGAGGAAGGAGAAGUCGUAACAAGGUUUCC
RNAcentral lists this ribosomal RNA (136 nucleotides) under uncultured Trebouxiophyceae. RNAcentral describes it as "partial small subunit ribosomal RNA". It matches the Rfam family "Eukaryotic small subunit ribosomal RNA", at positions 1670 to 1804 of the family's 1831-position model. Lineage: Eukaryota; Viridiplantae; Chlorophyta; Trebouxiophyceae. The record is from RNAcentral.